RNAcentral lists this ribosomal RNA (440 nucleotides) under uncultured bacterium. RNAcentral's name for it is "partial 16S ribosomal RNA". It matches the Rfam family "Bacterial small subunit ribosomal RNA", at positions 338 to 795 of the family's 1533-position model. The record is from RNAcentral.
CCUACGGGUGGCUGCAGUGGGGAAUAUUGCACAAUGGGGGAAACCCUGAUGCAGCGACGCCGCGUGAGUGAAGAAGGAUUUCGGUAUGUAAAGCUCUAUCAGCAGGGAAGAGAAUGACGGUACCUGAGUAAGAAGCCCCGGCUAACUACGUGCCAGCAGCCGCGGUAAUACGUAGGGGGCAAGCGUUAUCCGGAUUUACUGGGUGUAAAGGGAGCGUAGGCGGCGAAGAAAGUCUGAAGUGAAAGCCCGGGGCUCAACCGCGGAACUGCUUUGGAAACUUUUGUGCUGGAGUACGGGAGAGGUAAGCGGAAUUCGUAGUGUAGCGGUGAAAUGCGUAGAUAUUAGGAGGAACACCAGUGGCGAAGGCGGCUUACUGGACGGUAACUGACGUUGAGGCUCGAAAGCGUGGGGAGCAAACAGGAUUAGAUACCCUAGUAGUC